GUAGGUGGCAAGCGUUGUCCGGAAUUAUUGGGCGUAAAGGGCGCGCAGGCGGCCGAUUAAGUCUGAUGUGAAAUCCCACGGCUUAACCGUGGAAGGUCAUUGGAAACUGAUUGGCUUGAGUGCAGAAGAGGAGAGUGGAAUUCCACGUGUAGCGGUGAAAUGCGUAGAUAUGUGGAGGAACACCAGUGGCGAAGGCGGCUCUCUGGUCUGCAACUGACGCUGAGGCGCGAAAGCGUGGAUAGCAAACAGGAUUAGAUACCCUGGUAGUCCACGCUGUAAACGAUGAGUGCUAAGUGUCAGGGGGUUUCCGCCCCUUGGUGCUGGAGUUAACGCAUUAAGCACUCCGCCUGGGGAUUACGGCCGCAAGGCUG
RNAcentral lists this ribosomal RNA (371 nucleotides) under uncultured bacterium. RNAcentral's name for it is "bacterial SSU rRNA". It matches the Rfam family "Bacterial small subunit ribosomal RNA", at positions 527 to 896 of the family's 1533-position model. The record is from RNAcentral.